This 332-nucleotide unclassified non-coding RNA is filed under the name soil metagenome. RNAcentral's name for it is "partial contains 5.8S ribosomal RNA, internal transcribed spacer 2, and large subunit ribosomal RNA". The stretch from base 1 to 120 matches the Rfam family "5.8S ribosomal RNA", at positions 35 to 154 of the family's 154-position model. The record is from RNAcentral.
GAUGAAGAACGCAGCAAAAUGCGAUAAGUAAUGUGAAUUGCAGAAUUCAGUGAAUCAUCGAAUCUUUGAACGCACAUUGCGCCCGCCAGUAUUCUGGCGGGCAUGCCUGUUCGAGCGUCAUUUCAACCCUCAAGCACAGCUUGGUGUUGGGACUCGCGUUAAUUCGCGUUCCCCAAAUUGAUUGGCGGUCACGUCGAGCUUCCAUAGCGUAGUAGUAAAACCCUCGUUACUGGUAAUCGUCGCGGCCACGCCAUUAAACCCCAACUUCUGAAUGUUGACCUCGGAUCAGGUAGGAAUACCCGCUGAACUUAAGCAUAUCAAUAAGCGGAGGA